RNAcentral lists this long non-coding RNA (253 nucleotides) under Elaeis guineensis (African oil palm). RNAcentral's name for it is "long non-coding RNA (EGUI_LNC081124)". The record is from RNAcentral. Lineage: Eukaryota; Viridiplantae; Streptophyta; Magnoliopsida; Arecales; Arecaceae.
CAUCACUUUCUAAUUCCUAAUUUAGUGUUUUUAGUCUAGUUUUAACGUACCAUUUGCAAGCAAAAUAGAUUUUGAGAAAGAUUGACAGAUCAUUUAUGCUAUAAGAUCACUCCACUCAAAUACUAAACACUUAUCCCUAAGGACACCUAGCAUCACUGUUAGCCAUUUCUUUUCUCUUGAUGGAACACAAUUAGUUAGCUCAUUCCUUAAGAUUUUUGUCAUGCACUAACUUUAUAAGACUUGCAGUUUUGGA